GGCACCAAAAUCAGCCCCAAAUCCCCAAAGAGCCGGAUCACAAACGAGUCUGAAACGGGGGGAAAAUGAACCAAAAAAUGGGAAAAUCAGCACAAAAAUCAGCACAAAAAUCGGCAGAAAGUCACCCAAAAAUCAGCCAAAAAUCAGCACAAAAAUCAGCCCAAAAUCAGCACCAAAAUCCCCAAAGAGCCGGAUCACAAACGAGUCUGGGAAAGGGGAAAAUCAACCAAAAAAUGGGAAAAUCAGCACAAAAAUCAGCAAAAAAAUCAGCACAAAAAUCAGCACAAAAAUCCCCAAAGAGCCGGAUCACAAACGAGUCUGGGAAAGGGGAAAAUGAGAGAAAUCAGCACAAAAAUGGGCAAAAAAAUCAGCCCAAAAAUAGCCCUAAAUCACCCAAAAAUCACCCAAAAAUCGGCACAAAAAUCAGCAAAAAAUCACCCAAAAAUCAGCACAAAAAUCACUCCAAAAUCCCCAAAGAGCCGGAUCACAAACGAGUCUGGGAAAGGGGAAAAUCAACCAAAAAAUUACCCCAAAAUCAGCACAAAAAUCGGCACAAAAUCACCCAAAAACCAGCACAAAAUCACCCAAAAGUCAACCAAAAAUCAGCAAAAAAUCAGCCCAAAAUCACCCAAAAAUCAGCACAAACAUCAGCCCAAAAUCCCCAAAGAGCCGGAUCACAAACGAGUCUGCAACGGGGAAAAUAAACCAAAAAAUGGGAAAAUUCAGCCCAAAAAUUACCCCAAAAUCAGCCCAAAAAUGGGAAAGAUCAGCCCAAAAAUCAGCCCCAAAUCACCCAAAAUUUGGCAGCAAAGCACUCCAAAAUCAGCCCAAAAAUCAGCCCCAAAAUCCCCAAAGAGCCGGAUCACAAACGAGUCUGCAAUGGGGGAAAACAGCGAAAAAAUCGGGGAAAAUGAACCAAAAAAUGGGAAAAAUCAGCCCCAAAAUGAGCCCAAAAAUCAGCCCCAAAUCACCCAAAAAUCAGCCAAAAAUCGGCACAAAAAUCACUCAAAAAUCAGCCCAAAAUCAGCCCAAAAUCACCCAAAAAUCAGCACAAAAAUAGCCCUAAAUCACCCCAAAAUCACCCCAAAAUGAGCCCAAAAAUCAGCCCCAAAUCACCCAAAAUUUGGCACCAAAUCACUCAAAAAUCAGCCCAAAAUCAGCCCAAAAAUCAGCCCAAAAUCCCCAAAGAGCCGGAUCACAAACGAGUCUGCAAUGGGGGAAAAUGGGAAAAAAAAUUGGGGAAAAUCAGCACAAAAAUGGGCACAAAAAUCAGCAAAAAAUCAGCCUAAAAAUAGCCCUAAAUCAGCCCCAAAUCACCCAAAAUUUGGCACAAAAAUCGGCACCAAAUCACCCCAAAAUCAGCCCAAAAAUCAGCACAAAAUCAGCCUAAAAUCAGCAUAAAAAUCGGCACCAAAAUCACCCCAAAAAUUGGCACAAAAAUCGGCACAAAAAUCAGCCCCAAAAUCACCCAAAAAUCAGCACAAAAUCGGCACCAAAUCAGCCCAAAAAUGGGAAAGAUCAGCCCAAAAUUCACCCCAAAAUCAGCCCAAAAAGGGGAAAGAUCAGACCAAAAUCAGCCCCAAAAUGCCUCCAAAAAUCGACCCUUAAUCGGCCCAAAAUCAGCCCAAAAUAAGGGAAAGUUCCCCAAAAUCACCCAAAAAUCACCCAAACAUCGCCCCAAAAUCAGCCUAAGAAUUAGU
Molecule: long non-coding RNA, 1700 nt
Filed under: Zonotrichia albicollis (white-throated sparrow)
Lineage: Eukaryota; Metazoa; Chordata; Aves; Passeriformes; Passerellidae
Description: lncRNA (ENSZALG00000001079.1)
Source: RNAcentral